This 301-nucleotide ribosomal RNA is filed under the name uncultured bacterium. Its description in RNAcentral is "partial 16S ribosomal RNA". It matches the Rfam family "Bacterial small subunit ribosomal RNA", at positions 509 to 807 of the family's 1533-position model. The record is from RNAcentral.
CAGUCGCCGCGGUAAAACGAGGGGGGCUAGCGUUGCUCGGAAUGACUGGGCGUAAAGGGCGCGUAGGCGGCGGCCAAAGUCAGGCGUGAAAUUCCCGGGCUCAACCUGGGGGCUGCGUUUGAUACUUGGUUGCUUGAGUGGGGAAGAGGGUCGUGGAAUUCCCAGUGUAGAGGUGAAAUUCGUAGAUAUUGGGAAGAACACCGGUGGCGAAGGCGGCGACCUGGUCCUUUACUGACGCUGAGGCGCGAAAGCGUGGGGAGCAAACAGGAUUAGAUACCCGGGUAGUCCCUGUCUCUUAUAC